UGAAAGCCGAGCCCUAGCAGCGGAGUUCACAUGAAGCUCCGGAGAGGCGGGGCGAAACUAGGGUGAAGGGGUUAGGCAGUGGACGGGCUAGACCCGCCACCUCCCCCGAAGAGAGAGCGCUGGGUGCGGGGGACGCUCUGAAGGAUUGAACUCAGGUCCUUGUGCUUACACAGCAGGCGGCGAAACCACUGAGCUAAAUCCCCGGCCAUUGAGCUGCAUUUUAAAAAAAAGAAGAAGAAGAAGUGCAUCACUGUUACAAGGGACAAGGAUGUCAUUUUAGUCAUCACACUAUUUAAAUUUGUGGUCCCUCCAACCAACCCAAAAGAGAAAACUGAGACCCGGACAUGGUGGUGCACACUUGUAAUUCCAGCACUCAGGAGGCUAAGGCAGGAGGAUCGCUGUAAGUUCAAGGCCAGCCUGGGCUACAUAGUGAGUUCAAGGAAAGCCUGAACUACAAAGGGAGAUCCUGCCUCAAAAAACCAACCAACCAACCAAACAAACAAAAAACCCUGAGAGGAACCAGUGUGUCUCCGUAUCAGACAAACCUGGGACUGGAAUCCCAGUUCUGCCUCUGCCAAGAACUUGUUUUUGCACGGAAUGCAAUAAUUUAAGGCUCGGAAUUUAUGUUGGCUGCUCUGAUAUUCCUUGCUGAAAACCUACCUUCUUACAUAUGUUACUUCCAACAAAAAGCUGAUACCUUACGUGCUGUUGAUCUCAGAAAAGAAAUACAUGUGGGAAAAGAAGCGAAUUUCUCAUUGCCAUUGAAGUGUCGUGACCACCUGUCGUGGGAUUUGCCUGCCAUCUGCUGUCCGAGUGAGGAACAACAGCAGAGAAGUGGGAGGAAGGAGUCCCUCCACACCCUCUGAGGAUGGUUUGCAGAUGAAGGAAAGUGGGUUUAGAGAGGCCAAGCGACUUGCCCAGGAAUGCGCUGCUGGUGAUGGCUCGUCUCCCGAUGUGACAGCACUUGGGCCUUCUCAUUGAGCCCCCUGCUUAGUCCUCAAGUGAUGAGGAUUCCUAGAUGAAACCACUUCUCUCCAGCCUCUGGAUGUUGUCUCCUGGUCCCCAAAACGGGAAGAGAGAGAGGACACAAGAACUAAAGGAUUGGAGUCUGCGCUCUGGAAGGAAGGAGGGGCUGAGCCAACACACGUCAGACACUCACUUCCUUCAAGCCCUGAGCUAUUGCAUCACUGUAUUUUACCUGCACCAACAAGCAUGCUUUACUAUUCAUUUCCAUUUGUGUGUGUGUGUGUGUGUGUGUGUGUGUGUGUGUGUGUGUGUGUUACCAGAGACUAGAGACUAGAACCCCAGGGUGCCUUACCUCUGAGCUGCAUCUUCAGGCCUUUUUUAUUUUUAGACAGUGUCUCAAUUAGUUGCCCAGUUGGGACUCAAACUGGUGAUCCUUCAGCCUCAACCUCCCUAAAUGCUGGGUUUGUAGGUGUGUGUCACCCUGCCUGGCUAAACCCUGCUUUAAAGAGGGGAAAAUCAAGGCAAAGAGGUUAAAUGGUUUGGCCAACGCCCACAGACAAGUGACCAAAGCUGGACUGUAAAGCUGGAGAGAUCAAACCAGGACCGCUCAUACUUCAAGAAAAACAUUAAGCAAUAGAACUAGGACAGCCUCACCCCAAGUCUGCAUGUAACCAUUACUCCAUCUUGCUUCCUUUGUCCUGGCUGUUUGCUUAUAACUACACAAAUCACACACCCUCUGAUUAGUUAAUGCUCGAGAUAGCUCUGUCUGACACUUGAGAAAAUGUCAGAGGGGUCAAGCGUCACAGGUCUGACUGACAGCAUGUCCGGCUCCACAUCCACCCACUGCUGCCUUCACAGAUGAGCUGGGGAGGAGUGGAGACAGGAGGGGACCAGCCAGGUAGUUGCAGGGGCUCAGGAUGAGGGCCCACAUGGCCCUCCUGUUCAUCACUCAGUCUUUCUCCUCAGUACCAGCCCUUUGCCUGACAUUUGCAGCCACCUUCUCUGGGGGUGGCUCAUGGAGGUUUCCCUGUGCUGCUGUUGAGUCAUUUCUCUUUUGAGUUCCCCAGAGUUCAUGGGAACUCUCCACCCAGAAAUGGAAGCUACUCAGAAGACCUCAGUUCAAAGUGGAGGAACUUCCUAGCAGCAUGGGGACUGCCUAGUGAUGUGGUGGAUUUUCCAGCACUGGCCAUAUUCAAGUAGAAACUGAAUAGCCGUCUAAGGGGGAUUUCUAUAGUGGGCAGAGGCUGGGCCUAGGCUGUUAAAGCCCUUCUGACUGUGAGAUUGUAUGAGUUAUCAUGAGAUGAAAUUUCACCCAUCCAUGAGGGUCAAGUGGUAGCACAUAUACGAGCUUUCAUGUCAGAUAGACCUGGAUUCAAACCUGGCUCAGAAAUCUGGUGGUGCAUGCCUAUAGUCUCAGCUAUUUGGGAGGCUGAGGCAGGAAAGUCACUUGAUCCCAUAAGCUAGAGACCAGCCUUGACAACAUAACAAGACCCCAUCUCAUAAAAGCAAAAAAUGGCUUAGCUAUCUCGUUUGGGGACUGUGGGCAUAUUUCCUCCCUUAGCCUCAGUUUCCUUGUUGUAAAAUGGAAAUUAUAAUACCUUUGAGCGUUAAGGGUGAUGCCUAUGUUCUGGUUGGUAUAAUAAGAACACAACAAAUUAUGCCUACUCCUCAGCAUUAAACAAACGGCUAAAUCACAGAUUGGCAGGUUUUUUGGUGGCCUUUGAUGACAGAGUUGAAUGAAAGAAUUAAAUUCAUGUGUUAAUCGAGGUACUAAACGUCUGGAUACUUAACAUGAAUAGGAAAACAGCUUUUUUCUGUGUCUAUCUCUGAAAUAAUCAUGAAAAAUGUGAUAUAUAGGGCUGGGGAUUUAGCUCAGUGGUUUUGUCGCCUGUUGCGCAAGCACAAGGACCUGAGUUCGAUCCCUGGUACCAAAAAAAAAAAAAAAAAGUGAUAUAUAAGUGGGUAAAAUUCAAGAAAUGUUCAAGGAUCAUGAUGCCUUUGCUAAGAAUUGAAAAUCUGAGUCUCUGACCCAAAGGGAACACAUCAGCACAGAUAAACAUUCCCCUGUGGGAACAGAAAUCAGCUCUAAGACAUUGAUGGAUUUCAUUAGUUCUCUGUGUGUGCAGCCUAGGUGAUGGGAAACUCACUACCUGCUGAGACUGUCAGUAGGAAACUUACCAUGUUUCCCAGCUUGUUUUUUUACUGUUUGCCAGCUGGGAAAUAGAAUUUUCUAAUAUUGUCAUCCAACUGAGACCAGACCCCAAUCAGACAGGCACUGUAUGAUCUGAGGAAUGUGUAAGCAGGUGGGCAUUCACAGCAGCAGAGGUGGGGCCAAAUGUCUGAUAGAGUGACUUUCAGAAUCACACAGAUCUUGGCAUGAGUUCUGUUCUGUGACUCAGCUGUGUCCUUGGGCAAGUCAAAAACUCUGAACAAGGACCAGGGAUUUAGCUCAGUGGUUCCAGUGCCUGCCUUGCAAGCGCAAUGGUCCUGAGUUUGAUCCCCGGUACCAAAACCCCCCACAAAAACCAAAACAACCCUGAAAAGUUUUCUUGUGUGUGAAAUGGGAUUGAUUGUACCUUGCUCACAUGAUGAUUCAGUGAAAUUAAACAUUAAAGUGCUUGGUGCUGGGCACUUCACAUAGGGAA
Molecule: long non-coding RNA, 3611 nt
Organism: Heterocephalus glaber (naked mole-rat)
Lineage: Eukaryota; Metazoa; Chordata; Mammalia; Rodentia; Bathyergidae
Source: Ensembl